UUGCGAAACAGUGAAAUAUUCAAAAAGUUAUUGUGUCUAACUACUAUUAUUAUCUAAAUCCAUGAAAAUAUGUUAGCGGCGGACUCAAUCUACUAAGACUAAUAGUAUUUAAUUAAGACAUUAUGGAAAACCCAAGAGAUGUGAUCAUUCCAAGUACAUCGUCACCUGUUCAUGUACACAUAGACCAGGAUACUCCAUUGUAUGUACAUGUUGUAAAAAAGCCCAGUUCAGUAAGUUCAACUAAUGCAGCUGUUAGUAUUUAUAAACAAAAUCUUCGUGGAACAAAUGAAACACUUAUCAGAGAUCAUUGGAUACCUCCUCCAGCCAAAUCAUCUAGAAUUAACAUUUUAGGAAAGAAUCUGAAACAGAAAGAAAAAGACCAAAUAUUUGAAUUAAACAAGCUGAAAGAAGUGCAAGAUGAAGAGAAAAUAAUGAAAACAGAUUCUAUUAAAGAAAGCAAUCAUAGGUUGCUAAUGUGUGAUUUAACAAGACUUCCUGAGAGUUCAGAAAAUGCACUACAUUCAUUGUCCAAUAUCUCACCCUUUCAAAACAAGAGUGAAUUUGAACAAGCUCAGCUGAUAGUCAAACAGCAACAAAAUGAAUUUGCAAAAUUAAGAUCCCUUCUUGGUCAGCAGGAAAGUCAACUAAAAUUGUUUCAACAGGAGAUAAAUUUGUUGGAGAAACAGAGCAUGGCAAUGCAAUCUUCUCUCAUCUUACUUCAGUCACAAAGUGAAAUUUUCAGUGAGACUGAAAGGAAGUUACCAGAACCACAAGACCUUUAUACCAAAGUUGCUGAUGUUGAGAAGCAGAUGAAAAGCUCAGCUGCGACUACAGCUGAAUUGGAAAAAAAUAUGAAGAGUUGGAUACCAGGAAUGAAAGAAGACAGUUGGUGGCAGAAGUGGAUGCUUUCUCAGCAUGAACAACAACAAGAUCUUUUCAGAAAAUUAUUGGAUUCACUGCAAUCAAUGAAAAUAGGUGAAAGAAACCAAUCUAAAAAGGAAGAACUAAACAUUAACUUUCAGAACUUGAAAACACAGCUGGAUGAGAAACAGGAACUUCUACAGGACAUGAAAAAUGAGCUAAAGAAAGUAAAGAGUAAAGUGGAAACUUUAGAAUGUCAGAAACAGGCUUUAGAAAAUGUGAAAAGUCAUUUGCAAGGAGAACUGAGAAGCAAAGAGUCAGAGCUGGAAAGAUUAAAAGUACACUUAAAACAAAGUGAAAAUCAUGCUUCCCUGGAGGAACAGAAAAAAAUUAAAUUUCUUUUAGAAGAGAUACAAAAGAAGACAGCUGCAGAGAAAGAGGCACUAAAGAAGGCUGUUAAAGUCCAAAGACAGAGGGCUGAUAGCAAUGAAGAAUUGGCCAAGAAAAUGACUCGUUUGGCACAAGAAAAGGAACAUGUACUUCUUGCACUGACUCAAGAGAGAGAUCGGUGGAAAUCAGACCUGACUGAAGUGAAUAAUCAAAAGCUGGAAGCAGAGACCCAGUUAAACAGUUAUAAAAAACAUGUGGUGGAACUUGAAACAAUUAUCAACAAAAUUGACACAUCUUACCAGGAUCAGGUGAAAAGUGCUGAAAGUGGUCUUCAGGAAAAAAAUGUCAAACUUGUCCAACUAGAAGUAGAAAAUAAGAACCUUCAGAUAGAAAAGGACAUUCUUGAAAAUAAGAUCAGAACAUUGGAAGAAAGGCUAGUGCAGUCUGACAUGAAGUUACAAAAGAUACUUUCAGUGGAAAGUCUUGGGCAACUUGAAUCCCUGUAUAAGGAAACUGAAACACUGAAAAAUCGUUUGAAAGAUGCGUUAGAGAACAAUAAAAAAUAUGAAGAACGACACCAAAAAGAUAUUAAACAAAUCUCUCAUUUGAAAUCUCAGAUUGAAAUUAUUCCUAAAGAUUUACAACAAAUCAAACAUCAGGUGGAGCACUCUAAAAAUCAAGAAACUCAGCUAGAAAAUACAAACAGAAUACUUCUAGAUCAGAAGCAGUUAAUAGAAGAUUUGAAAAAAGAACAGAGACAAAAAGAAGCUUCUGUAGAAAAAUUCAUGUCUCAGCUAGAGGCAAAAGAUGAAACAAUAAAAAAACUUGGAGAACGUCUUCUGGAGGUUCAGACAGAGACUCAAGAAAAGAUACACAAAUUACAAACACAACUUUCUGUUCAGGAAGAAGUCAGCCAAGUUAGAAUGUCAGCAUUACAGGAAACCCUUAAAACUACCAAGCUCAGGGCAGAUAAAUUACUUAAUGAAAAGGAAGAGUACUGAUACUUCAAGAAAUAAGCAGCCGUCUUUUCAACUCGCAUGAAGAAUGUAGUUUGUUAUUGAAAGAUUCAAAAGGAGCUUCAGAAGAAAAUAGAUGAAGUGCGGGAACAGUUAGAGCACAGCCUGUCUACUAACAGAAGU
This 2390-nucleotide unclassified non-coding RNA is filed under the name Limulus polyphemus (Atlantic horseshoe crab). RNAcentral's name for it is "outer dense fiber protein 2-like, transcript variant X1". The record is from RNAcentral. Lineage: Eukaryota; Metazoa; Arthropoda; Merostomata; Xiphosura; Limulidae.